This 537-nucleotide small RNA is filed under the name Pan troglodytes (chimpanzee). RNAcentral describes it as "processed transcript". Lineage: Eukaryota; Metazoa; Chordata; Mammalia; Primates; Hominidae. The record is from RNAcentral.
GCCUGGGCUCGGAAUCCCGGCUCCUGGUCCUCACAGCCCUGAUUUGGACCAGAAUCUCAGGUGCUCAGAAGAAAGAUCCUGUUUAGUGAUGACCCAGCUCUACCUGCUGAAUGGACCUGCAGGAGCAGGCUACUACAGUGGAACUGUUUCUGUUUCAUCUGACAUCUGGAUAGAUGCCAGCCACCCCCACAUUCCAAGCAGUUUAAGUAUAGUGUGCCUGGGUCGGGUGCGGUGGCUCACGCCUGUAAUCCCAGCACUUUGGGAGGCCAAGGCCAGUGGAUCACCUGAGGUCAGAAGUUCAAGACCAACCUGGCCAACAUGGUGAAACCCCGUCUCCACUAAAAAAUCCAAAAAUUAGCCAGGCAUGGUGGCGCGUGCCUGUAAUCCCAGCUAUUCGGGAGACUGAGGCAGGAGAAUCGCUUGACCUUGGGGAGGCGGAGGUUGCAGUGAGCUGAGAUCGCGCACCACCGUACUCCAGCCUGGGUGACAAAGAAAAACUCCGUCUCAAAAAAUAAUAAUAAAAAAAAGUAUAGUGUG